Molecule: long non-coding RNA, 7231 nt
Filed under: Populus tremula
Lineage: Eukaryota; Viridiplantae; Streptophyta; Magnoliopsida; Malpighiales; Salicaceae
Description: long non-coding RNA (PTRE_LNC001059)
Source: RNAcentral
UGGUCUUGUGUGCAUCUGUUGUUUGCCCGUAAGCCACCUCCUUUUCAUCUGCGUCGUAAGCAUAGGCUCGUAUGAAGUACGUGGCAGUGGGCACGUCACGCUCAACAGUCCACUCGGACUGGGCGGUGCUGUUGGCAGGGCUGUAAGGUCUAGCAACGAUAUCGUUCUGGCAAGUCCUGUCCUUUUUUAGAUCGUCUACAGUUUUUCUCCACCCACGGUCAACUUGGCUUAUGGGAGCGUAGCACAGCUUGACCUUGAUGGUCUUGUAGGUCGAGUCCGUACCAGCUGCGAGGGUCUGGUUCAGCCCCCAUGUCACGGUGAUUUUGUCCACACCUCCUUUCAAUACUGCAAAGUUAAUUAAUAAUUAGUUCUGUACUGUGCCAUUAAAUCUGGAUGGAGCACUGGAUGCAUGGUGAGAUCAAGGAGGGAAAACAACCUUAAAUCUGAAAGUAGAACUGAGAAGUUGAAAAUCAAGAACAGACAAGAAGGAAAACGAUGUCAUGUGGAUCGUGUUACCUUGUCCGGAUGUUGGUGAGGCCGUGACUGCAAGAGUUCUUUGCAGAGAAGAGAAGAGCACAGUUCCAUAGCAAGGCAAAAGAAAGCAGGAGAGAACAAGUGAGGCCAAGAGAAGAGCACGUGCUGCCAUUGCUAGAUACUUUUCUUUUCUUGCACUAUAUAGGUAACACUUUUGAAGUAAAUCACCAAAAGCUAGGAAAGGUAGAAGAAGAGGCUAUGAUCCCACUGUAUAUAACCAAUACUAAUGAUGAUUUGAUGGAGUGCGCAGACUGUCUGGGUUGACCUUAUAUAAUACAAGGCCGAACGAGCUGCCACAGGAGACUAUAUGACCCUUAAACGUGAGGAAAGGGUGGGGUGAAAGCGGGUUUCGCUUAAUCAAGAAAAGGAGGUUUGACUUUGUUGUGGCUAUUAGUAUUUUACAAACGUGGAAAUUCUUGGUGGAUGAUAUUGAUGAGAAGACAUGGAUGGUAUCCGUUUCAAGUACAUUUUCGUUCUUUGAUUAUUAUUAUUUUUUUAUUUGGAGUUUUUUUAUGCUUUGGCUCGUCCCCUGGAAUCUCGAAAAGAUUAAACAAGCAAGGAAGCUAGGAAUUGUGAAGGGAGUUGCUGACCUAGCUAGACAAUCGAAGGAAAAGCCAAAUCGAAUGGAAUGGAAGAGGCGGAAGGUGUAAGAUCGUUUAUGAAAAUUAAUUCCAAAUCAUCCCACUCAAAACCAGUUAGCUGUCAAUCAAGCCAGAUUUUCUCUAAUCGCAAUAUACAUCCAUCCGAAUUAUCCGUCCUUAAUCGGAUUCGUAUAAAAGAAUUCUGGAAAUUUUCAAGUAAACCCUCUCAAAAUAAACAAUUUUCCAUAAAAAUAUUGUCAAUGACUAAGCCACAUGUUUGAGAAACAAAAAGCACCAAAGAAAACUAGCCUAGUUGGCCUCGCUAAUUACAUUCAAUUAUUCAUCUAAUUAAGAAUUUGUUUUUGUAUUUUAAAAAUACUUUUUAAAAAUUUAAAUUUUUUAUUUUCUUCUUUACUUCAAAUUAAUUUUUUUAUAUUGAUAUAAAAAGUUAUUGUUCAUCUCAUUCAAUAAUUUUUUAAAUUAUUACGAUAUAUUUUUAAAUAAAAAAUAUUUUAAAAAACAAUUAUUAUAUACCACAGUACCACAAACACUCUAUUUAAAAGAUAUGUGAUAAUUAUAAUACAAAGGGAGCAUUGAUUAGUGUUGUAAAAACAACUCAAGAAUCUCAAACUAAUUAGCAAGUAUAUAUAAACACAAUUAAUCAUUAAAGAACAUAUAUAGAAUGUUAGGGUUUCAUUUUUGGUUCGAUAACAGCUUUAUGGUAUAGAUUCCUGCUUUCAAGAAAGUCCCAAGUAAACAAUGCAUUUCCCCCCAGGAUUCCUAUUAAAGAUAUUUACGUUGUUCGACAAUUUAGGCCUACUUUAUAGGCAACAUUAUCAAGAAAAUUAACUAUGAGAAAAUAGAAGAUCACAAUGUGUCAUGUAAAUUAUUCUCUCACCAAAAAUAAAAAAAUAACUCAAAGCUAGCAUUUUCUCUCCUCUCUAACAACCAAAGUGUAGAGAAUGAAGGUACUUACAAAUAAAUCUCUACCUUAAAAUAUGAUAAUUGUAGUCUUUGAUGUAUAGACUUAAUACAUGUGUAUUUCUUUUCUCACUUGGAUCUAUAAUUUAAAACAAAUCCAAUAAAUCUUCACCUUGACUUAAAUUGAGCCAACUUACGAAUCUUGAACUCCUCUCUGAUCGCCUCCACCAAACAUAUUUCAAGUAUUACACAAAUCAAUCAAAUCCAAGCAAUGCUUGAACUUGACUAUUGAGAUAGAUAUCGUCAACAUAUCUGCAGAGUUUUUAGUUGUAGCAAUCUUCUUUCAUUGAUACAACACCUUGUAACAUGAUAUUUAGAAUGAAGUGAUACCUAAUAGUCAACUCACUAUGGUCCUUUCAUGGUAAAUCUAGUUCUUAGCUAAAUGAAUAUCACUCUAACUAUCAUAAUGUAUAACAAUCAACUCAUGUGAAAAAUCAAGAUUGUCAACCAAAACUCUUAACCAUAAAGCUUAUUUUAUUGUCUUUGUCAAUACCAUAUACCCAACCUCUGUUAUAGACAAGGUAAUAAUAGAUUGUAAAACUAUUUUCCAACUAAUGGCACACCCCAAGAGAGUAAAAUAUAACUCGUCAACAAUCACAUCCUAUCUAAACCAUCAAUUUAAUCUAAAUCUACGAAGUCACCAAUAUUAUUUAUGGAGUUACUACCCCCUAUCAUAUACCAAGUCAUCUGUAAUACCUGUAAGAUAACAUAGUAUCAAUUUCACCGCCUGUUAAUGAACUAUACCAGGAUUUCCUAUAAACUUGUUGACCAUACUAACAACAUGUGAAAUGUCUAAAUGAGUGCAUACCAUAACAUAUAUAAUGCUUUUAAAUAUACAAGCAUAUUAAACACUUGACAUGUGCUCUUUUUUUUCUCUUCAGUUUCUUGUGACAAACCCGAAUAUGAUAUGAAAUAGGCUACAAAUAGAGUAUCCACUGGCUUGUAGUCUUACACACCAAAAAGCUCAAGUACAUUCUUAAGAUACUUCCUUUAUGACAUGUAUAAAUUUUCUAUGCUUAGAUCUUGAUGUAUUUCUAUACCCAAGAUUUUCUUAGCUGCAUCCAAAUCUUUCAUCUCAAAUUCACUAUUUAAUUGAUCCUUCAAAUUGUUGAUCUCAGACAUAUUUUUAAAGACAAUCAAUAUGUCAUAAACAUACAACAAUAAGUACAUAAAUGAACCAUUUAAGAGCUUAAUGAAAUGCACAUAACUAACAUAGUCACUCCUAAAAUAACCAUGUUCAAGAAUAAAAGUAUCAAAUAUUUUUAUAUCAUUACCUCAACGACUAUUUCAAGUCAUAUAAUGACAUCUUCAAUAAGCACGCAUGGUUUUUUUUUUUUUUUUUAUCAUCUUGAGAAAUGAAGCCUUCAGGCUAAUGCAUAUAAAUCCUCUCCUUUAACUCACGAUGUAGAAAAAUUAUUUUAACAUCCAACUGCCCAAGGUCUAAGUUAAACAAAGCUAUCAUAGCGAGCAAUACUCACAUAGAACUAUGCUUCAUAACCGGAGAGAAUACUUCAUUUAAGUCAACACCUUUUCUUUGUGUAAAUCUCCUAGCAACUAGACGUGUUUUAAACAUUACAUCCUUAACCCCUGUGAUUCUAUCUGUUCUCUUGCAAGCUAACUUGCACUCAAUAAUCUUCUAGCCUUUAGGGGUUUAACAAGCUUUCAUGUCUGGUUUUUAUAAAAAGACUUAAUCUUCUUAUUCAUUGCAAGUGUUAUAACUUAAUUUUGACCUCCUGUUAUUCUAAAUAUUUUCAAAAUAUAAAGAAAGAAAAAAAAUAAAAAUAUGUUCAUGUUGUAUUUGCUUUAUUUUUAGUAUUUCCAACGUCAUUUUAAAAGAAUACAAAUUUCUUUUUAAUAUAUUCAACUUUUCACAUGUUAUUUUUAAAAUUGUUGAUUUUUAUUAUCGAGUCAAUGUUGUCUUUUACAAGCCUUAAAAAAAAUAAAAAAUAUUUGGACAAAAAGACCAAAAUACAAAGGAAGAAAAUGAGGGGCUAAGCAAUUAAGGAAGAAGAUAUAAUUUUUCAUCUAUAAAUAGAUGGUAAUCUUACACAAAAAAAGAGAGCCAAGAAUAUAAACUUUAAAGAACAUAAAAAAAUAACAACAAAUUCCUUCCCCCAUUCACAAAAAAAACCCUAAAUCUAUUUUGUUACUCCUUAACCACUAGCAACCUCCAGCAGCAACCUCUUCUUCUUCCAGCAGCAAUGCUAGCCUUCUCUCAAGAACAACCCCAAUAGCAAGCAACCUUUUCUUGAUUGUGACCAGCCCUGCACUUCCCACUAUCCAACAACGCCAGCCCUGCACAUCCACAUUGACCAGCAUCAACCUUCCAUUUCUAGCACCAUCAACAGCUCCUCCAUAUCUCAACACUCAACUAAUGAUGCUCCGUCGCCAACCCUAUAUCAGGCAUCCAUUAGCAGCCCCCUAACUCCAGCCAGCAGCAACAACUCUUCUCUUUAGCCACGCUAACCUUCCAUGCUGUAAGUAGGGGUUUAUUUUCUCAACCAUGCCAAUCUCCAGCACCACCAGCAAUGACCACCCCUUGCGUCAAUAACACCUUUGAACCGCAGCAGACCAAUUAUGUUGCCAACAAGGAGAACCAUCAUCUACAACCUCUUCUUAUCAUAUAUAGGGUGCACCGAGGGUGAUAUAUCUUUUCUCUGCAUAAUCAAUUUCUGUACCCAAACUCUCGUAGACCAUUAGAUUUUCUAGUGGCCAUGAUAUUAGAUGGUAACUUUUUUUUUUAUUGAUAAAGAACAAGAAUUUCUUGCAUUUUCCACCCCAAUCUAUCCCAAUAACCCCGAUCCGAAAAAAUGAUUACCACGACACCGUCUAUGUGCUACAGCAAGCAUCCACUAAAAUGACUUCUAUAGUUUAUUAUAUUUUCUCGAUUAAAAAACUUAUACAAAUAGUAUAUUUAAAAGCAUAUAUAGUUAAAUUUUAAAGAGGAAAAAAAUUGAGAUAAUUAUUCAUCUUCUCACAAUAAUAAAAAUUAUCAUGAUAAUUUAAUUUUAUGAACUCUAAACUAAUUUACAAUUGCACAUCAAAUAUAAAUAACAUGAUGUCCGUGUAUAUGUCUAUACAAAUAGUUUUGGAGAGUCGGUUCUAUAAAUUUAAGAGUGUGGUUUUAGUCAAUUGAUGCAAUUGAUUUUUUUAAGUCAAAUGCUUUUUUAAAAAAGUUUUUUCUUUAUAUGUGAAGAAAAAAAGAUUGAUACAAAUCAUCUCAAUUUUUUUACUCGUUGCUUUAUAAAUUGUAUUCUUAACAUUGAAAUUUAAUAUUUGCCCUUUACUUCUCUCCAUUUUAGUCUUUCUUUUCAAUUCAAUGUCUAAACUUCUGUCUUUAAAUGUUAUUUAUACGUUUUGAAUUAUUUGUUUUCUUAAUUAAACUUGCAUAAAAAUUAAAAAUGAUUGCUUUUAUUUCGAGUAACAUAAUUUACUAGUAUAAUUAUCAUGAUUGUUAUUAGUAUGGAAAUAAGUAAAGAAAUUUUAUAAUUAAUAUAUUUUUAAUAUGAUAAAUUAAAAUCUUUUAUCAGAUUUUUGCAUCUUCUUUUUAAACUAUCAAUUAAAAAAAAGAAUAAAUUUCAUCAAAACCCUUUUCCAACUCUAUUUGGUAAGUGUGCAAAUUUUCAAGGAUUAUGUUUGGUGCAACUAAUACUAUUUUUUCUAUUACAACCCAUCUGAUGAAAAUCAUAUGAUAUAUGUUAAUGUUUGAGAAAAAUAAUUAGGCCUUUAAUUGUAACAAUUGUUAAGAAAAGCUCGUUAAACUAAAAAAACUUGCAAGUGAUUGGUGUUGGAAAAAAUUGUUUGAAACAUGAUAUAUUAAUGGGUAUAUUUAGAGUCAAAUUAAAAGUGGGUGCCCGUACUCACUUUUAAAAAUAAAAUUUUGUUAAAUUUUAUUAUUUAAUAUAAAUUUUUUAACAUAAAAUAUUGACAUAAUUAAAAUAAGUUAUAGAUAAAUAAAAAAUUGAUAUAAAAAAAACUCCUAAUUAACAUGUUUUAGAGAAAACCAAAACCCUCUAAAACUCUAUCCAACACAGGAAAAGAAACAAGAUUUUUUUGUUGUUUAUAUAGUAAAAAAGUAAAAGGUUAAAAUUGAAUCCGUAUGACACCCAAGUUUUUAUAGGAAAAUAACCUAAGUAAAGCACGUUUUAAACUUAAGAUACGCACGCAAGCAUGCACAUGACUUGGCUCAACUUGGGUAUAAAUUAUUUGUUUGAACUAUAAAUAGAUUAUUUUUUGCUAACAUAUUUUUCUAUGCUUGGGUUUGAAUUUAUAUAAAAAAAUUUGUCCAUGAAAAAUUAUUUUUUAUAAGUCCAUUAAUAUGUCCGACUAAUAAACGAAGUCUGGAUUAUAAGUCCAUUAAUAUGUCCGACUAAUAGUGAAAACAAUCCUAAUAAUUUUAAAUGAGUCUUCCAUCCAUUUAUUUCAUUAAUUUGCAAUUAGCAUUUAUUUGUGUUGAGAAGGGCAUGGCAUGGAUAGUCAUCAUUGUUUCAAUCAAAGAUUUUCACUGAGACCCAUUGCAAAAGUCAACAUUUCCCCAAGGACAUCAGAAUACAGAAGGCUUAAGAAAGUAAACAUGAAACCCACAACUAUAAUACUCCAUGGACCCGUAGUGUGAUACUGUGAUAUGAUAUCUUUUGCCAUGCUCGCUUCACUGAGACCUCUUUGCCUUUCUCUUCUCAUUGUAGAAGAAACCAAACAAGGACACAACAGAGAAAACACUGAAGCAUACUGAGCAAAUAUCCAUUGUGGCGUGGCGUCCACUGAUUGCUUGGACUUGAAACAGAUUGGUGGUCUUGUGUGCAUCUGUUGUUUGCCCGUAAGCCACCUCCUUUUCAUCUGCGUCGUAAGCAUAGGCUCGUAUGAAGUACGUGGCAGUGGGCACGUCACGCUCAACAGUCCACUCGGACUGGGCGGUGCUGUUGGCAGGGCUGUAAGGUCUAGCAACGAUAUCAUUCUGGCAAGUCCUGUCCUUUUUUAGAUCGUCUACAGUUUUUCUCCACCCACGGUCAACCUGGCUUAUGGGAGCGUAGCAUAGCUUGACCUUGAUGGUCUUGUAGGUCGAGUCCGUCCCAGCUGCGAGGGUCUGGUUCAGCCCCCAUGUCACGGUGAUUUUGUCCACACCACCUUUCAAUACU